Non-coding RNA from Camelina sativa (false flax), 317 nucleotides. Lineage: Eukaryota; Viridiplantae; Streptophyta; Magnoliopsida; Brassicales; Brassicaceae. The record is from RefSeq and is a predicted model, not a curated record.
CGUAGGGUCCGUACUCCUCCACCCCGUUUUGUCAGACGCAAGGAUGAUGCUCCCAAGCCUGGACAACCAGGACAGGCCCCUCGUCCAGCUGGUCCUGGAGCUGGUGCUGCACCUCGUGUCUGAAGUCUGCAAGCAGCGCUCUCUCUUGUUUUCUUAUAUGUUCUAAGUUGUUGCGUUUUUAAGGAUGUUUUUCUCUGGUUCAAGUUAUAUCACUAUGUGGAUCGUGAAUCCUGUCAAACUAUUUCAGUAGUUGAUUCAACUUUUUUUUUGGCACCUCUAUAUCCCCAGUUUUGCAAUCUGCUUUUCUGGUUUAACUU